AGAGUCCUCCUGGAAUCCUAGUUCCACCUAUCUUGAUUUCUUAUUGGCCAGCAGUGCUUUAUUGACAAAUGCACAGGACUUCCCCCAACAUGUGCCUCUUAGCCUUUCUGUCUUCGGAGCAUUUCUAGAUUAAUUAAGCUGGGAAGGUUCGUUGAGGUGAGAAGACCUAGCCGGAAUGUGGGUGGCAUUCUUCCAUGAACUGGCCCUGGACUGAAUGAAAGGAAAAAGUGAUUCACCAUAGCAUAUCCAUCUUACUAUGAAACCAUAUGUUGAUUUCCAGCAUUUAAGAGAAAACUGAGGUCCUGGCUUUUCCACAGACAGAACAGCUCUGGGAAGACACAGAGUGUGGUAUAAAGGCAACCAUUGCCAAGGUGGAUUUCUCAGCUUUUAUGUUAAGUUGCGUCAUUGCUCCAUUAAAGUUGGGAUUGGAUUCAAAAACCUGGGUAAAUAAGAUAUGAGCACUUAUUUUUAGGAUCCUGCUUCCACAGCUGUAAGCCAUUCCCACCAAGUGGCCUUCACAUCAUGAUGGAGAGUAUCUCUGCAAGUCGGAAUCUCAGAUAAAAUUUCCUCUGAUACCUUGACUGUGAAUAAUAGUUUCAAUAAGAAAGACAGGAUGUGUUCUGACAGGAAGACUAUGAGCUGUGACAGAUAGAAGAAAAAUGAAGCCAAGCAACAUGGAGAUAUGUCAUCACUUCUGGGUUUUGCCUGGAUCUAUAUCCAGUCACCUAUGCCUUUUCAUACUGGGCACUCAUUCAAGAAACAGCAUAUCUUCUCUGACUUUGAAGUAAUGGAUGAACUUUCAAGGGCAACACAUGGAAAUGAGUCUUACUACUUUCUCCUCACAACAUGCAUCCAUCUGCUCAUUUGUCCAUUCAAUAGUCGUAUAUUGAGAGCUCACUCUGUGUGUUAGGCUCAGUACUAGGUACUAGAGGUUAUCAAUCACAUGGUUCCUAGAAAUUAUAUAAUAGUGAACAUGAACAGUUUGAUUUUUAUCUUUAAAAUUCAUUUCAUGUUGCUGGAUAGAUAGCUUGGUGGUUAAGAGUACUUGCUGUUCCUCCGGAAGAUGCAAGUUCAAUCUUCAACACCCAUGUUUGGAGGCUCAUGACAUCCUAUAACUCCAGCUCCAGUGGGUCCAAUGCUCUGUCCUGGCUUCUAUGGACACCUGCACACAUAAAGCAGAUACACAUAAAUAUGAGACUAAAAAACCUAAAUAUUAUACCUCAAGGUUAAAGCCUUCUAACCAGAAAUCCUUGAAUGGAUGGAAAAGGCAGUGAAAAGUGCAAUUACUUAAUAAGUUUUUAGUAUCCAUAUAUUAGUGGUCUUAUAAAAACACUUCCAUAUUCACUGUUGGAAAUCUCAAGUAUUUUGUGUAUGUGUGUGGUGUUUGUGUGCAUGUAUGUGCCUGUGUACCUGUUUGUGUGUGAGAAUGAGGGGAUACACACACACACACACACACACACACACACACACACAGGUUGAUGUUAGUGUCUUCCUAGAUUGAUUAUUUUUGAGAUAUGGGCAUACCCUUACUGAAUCUGGAUUUCACAAUUGUGGGUAGGCUGGCUGGAUAAACACACUGUAGGGAUCCACCCAUCUCUGCUUCUUCCCACAGGUUUAACAUUACAGGCUCGUGCAGGUGUCUGGCUUUUAAGUGGGCACUGGGGAUUCAAACUCAGGCCCACCUGCUUGUAUGGCUGGUUUUUAACCAAUGUAACCAUCAUUGAAGUCCCUGAAAUGUUACAAGCCAGUUAUGAGCCAGACAAAUCAUGAUUGAACCUAGAGAUGCUUGCUCUAUUUGUUGCUCAGGUGGAAAAGUAAACAGCUUUCUGUGAGCUUUCCUUUCUGUUUAACCAGCAGCAGCUGCGGCAGUGAAGACUUUAUGUUUCUCAGGAUGGGUUUUCUGCCUGCCAUUGUUUACAAUACAAUGCUAUAGUAAUAAUCUUGUAAA
This is a long non-coding RNA of Mesocricetus auratus (golden hamster), 1948 nucleotides long. RefSeq lists it as uncharacterized. The transcript is spliced from 5 exons. The record is from RefSeq and is a predicted model, not a curated record. Lineage: Eukaryota; Metazoa; Chordata; Mammalia; Rodentia; Cricetidae.